This is an RNA transcript of Balaenoptera ricei (Rice's whale), 14796 nucleotides long. It is a transcript of the gene named zinc finger protein 599-like, with no coding region annotated. The record is from RefSeq and is a predicted model, not a curated record. Lineage: Eukaryota; Metazoa; Chordata; Mammalia; Artiodactyla; Balaenopteridae. The transcript has 6 exons.
GAUACAAAUACAAUCAGGAUUCCUGGAAGAGCGCCUUUCGAGGUGCCAGGCCGUGCUGCGGAAGCAAUAUUACCCAGGAGGCUCUGCGGCAAGAGGCGGUAGCUCCGGGCCAAUGACUGUGCAGGACUGGGAUCCCGCGUCGGGCGAGACUUACGGCGGCAUUCUCGUGGCGGUUGUAUUGGCUGCACCUGCGUCUGUCCUCGGGCUCGCACGCAGCUCCCGAGCCAUAAGCGGGCUCGAGGGCCGGGACCAGUAAGUCUCAGGAAGAGGCUUCCUCCCCUCCCUUCACGGAGGCAGGGCUGAGGGUGGGCGAGGCAGCGGAGGGGCGUCAGCUGAACCGUUGGGACCCUCCCUGGUCUCCUGCGUUGCAAGGCCCAGGUCCCUGGAAAGGGUCUCAUGGCCGCGGCAGAGGCACAGACAGACCCGGCACUGGCACCAGUGACCUUCAAGGAUGUGGUUGUGACCUUCACCCCGGAGGAGUGGGAAUUACUGGAUCCGGCUCAGAGGACCCUGUACCAGAAGGUGAUGCUGGUGACCUACAGGCUCCUGGUCUCACUGGGGCAUCCUGUUCCCAAACCAGAACUGACCUACCUGUUGAAUCCUGGGCAAAAGCUAUGGAUGGUGAAGAGAGGCUUUUCCCAAAGCUCUUCCUCAGGUGACAAAGCAAAAACCAAGACCACAGAGACUACUGCUUCUCAGCCAGCCUUGUUUGAUGGAUGCUUAGUCCAAACAUCACUGACUCAGGAAGGCUUCAGUGUUUCUACUUUGGGGCAAGCCAGGAAACCAGAAGGAGUAUCAGAAAAGCAGGGAGGGCACAUGAGGACAGGAACAGUCCUUCACAAGAAAACCCUCCCUGGAAAGGUGAACCCUGACUGUGGUGAUUUGGAAAUACGUGACAGUCUGUGUUCAAAAGAUUUACAGGAUAGAGUGUCUACAGCAAAUGCUUCUCAUGAGUGUGAGUCACGUGGAUCAAGGGAAGACCCGUUGUUUCAUGGAGGGAAGAAUGCCUACAGAUGCAAAGCAUGUGGGAAAGGGUUUGUCAAGAAUCACUUCCUUGUUCGACAUCAGCGAAUUCACACUAGAGUACAACCCUAUAAAUGCAAAAAAUGUGGGAAGCCCUUUCUCAAGAAAGCAGACCUCACUGGACACUACAGCAUUCACAUUGGGGAGAAACGCUAUGGGUGCGUCGAGUGUGGGAAAGCCUUCAGCCACAGGUCACACCUCACAGAGCACCAGCGGAUUCACAGUGGAGAGAAACCCUUUGUAUGCAUCGAGUGUGCGAAAGCCUUCAGCCGCAGGUCACACCUCACAGAGCACCAGCGAAUUCACAGUGGAGAGAAGCCCUUUGUGUGCCUCGAGUGUGGGAAAGCCUUCAGCCGCAAGUCACACCUCACGGAGCACCAGCGGAUUCACAGUGGAGAGAAGCCCUAUGUGUGCGGUGAAUGCGGAAGGGCCUUCGCCCACCAGUCUGAUUUCAUUUGGCAUAAGAGAACCCACGCUGGAGAGAAACCCUCUGAGUGCAAAGAAUGUGGGAAAGCGUUUAGUGACAGCUCUUCUGUAACUCGACACAUGAGGUGUCACUCUAGGGAGAAGCCUUAUGAGUGCAGUGAGUGUGGAAAGAUCUACAGCUACAGCUCAACCCUCACCACCCAUCAAAAGAUUCAUAGUGGGGUGAAAUCCUACGAGUGUAAGAGAUGUGGAAAAGCCUUUUACCAGAAGGCAGAGCUCAGACAACAUCAGAGAUCUCAUACUGGGGACAGACUUUUCUGAAGUAACUAUUGUGGCAAAUAGUUUGGCCAGAGGAAAAAUGUUCCUUGGCAUAUGAGAGUUCAUACCCAAGAGAAGCCCUGGCCUCCCUCACAUGCUCAGUUCUUGCUUGACUGUGGUGUUACCUUUAGCUAGAGCUAAGCCCUUGCACUGCAGAAGUGGAGGCCAGUCUCUCCAAAAACAUGACUUGGUUCUCAGCAGAGGGACCUUCUUUCCACACCUGAAAGCUCUUUGCUAUGACGUGGCCCAUACAGAGACCUGGGACUAUUUGUCCCAGAGCAGGAGUGGUAUGCAUUUCAGUGGAUGAAGGACCCCCUUCCCUAAUGGCCUGUGUCUCCCUAUCUAAUUUUCUGUGUACAGAGGGGCCUGCUGUGUUCUUGCUAGUAUGAUGGGCAGGAGUUAUGAGAACCCCAUCCUUUAUCCCCAUUACCUCACACAGUGUCCUGGGUCCUGGGUCAUGGAGACACAUCGGUGAUUGAGACAUGGGUCUUGCUGUUUAGAAUGGGAAAUACACGAUUACACACAGGUGAGGUAUAUCAACUCUGUUGCCGUGACAGUAACAUGCUUAUGAUCCCCAUCCAGCAUAAUGAAGAACAAGGUCAAAACUUAGGUAUGGAGGGGCUCCCCUGGUGGCUCAGUGGUUAAGAAUCCGCCUGCCAAUGCAGGGGACAUGGGUUUGAGCCCUGGUCCAGGAAGAUCCCACAUGCCGUGGAGCAACUAAGCCCAUGUGCCACAGCUACUGAGCCUUCACUCUCGAGCCCAUGAGCCACAAUUACUGAGCCCGCAUGCCACAACUACUGAAGCCCGCACCUACAGCCUGUGCUCUGCAACAAGAGAAGCCACCGCAAUGAGAAGCCGGCGUACCUCAAUGAAGAGUAGCCCCUGCUUGCCACAACUAGGGAAAGCCCACGUGCAGCAACGAAGACUCAACACAGCCAAAAAUAAAUAAAUUAAUUAAAUAAAUUUAAGACUUAGGCAUGGAGGACAGAUGUGAUCAGGAAGAGUGGUCUAGUGGCUGGCUACAAGCUUGGACUCUGGGGACAAUUGGGAUUCCAAUGCUCCUGAGCUGUGCCCAUCACCAGCUGGAUGACCUUGGUCAUGUUGCUUCCUCACAAGCCUCUCUUCGUGUCUGUAAAAAUGGAAAGAUGUAUGUUAAACUGUAAAGCAUGGGAAGAGGAACAGAUGGUAUACAAAGAUGAUAUCGUGCAGACCCAUGAGGGAUGGAAGAGCCCCAGCCAUGUUUGAAGAUGGAGAAGAGCACUCCUUGCAAAGGGAACAACAUGUACCAAGAUCCUGAGGCAGGCAAGAGCCGGAAUUGUUGGGGGAAAUAGCUGAAGACCAGUGUGUCCAAGGGAGACAAGUGGGCAGUGAGAUGGAGGGUGCAGGGCCCAACACACAUCAUGAGAAAUGUGGAUUUUAUUGCAACUGCUCUGGGAGGCUCAGGAAGGGAUUCAGCAGGACAGUGGAAUGAUGUUAUUUGUCUCUAAAUCUCCCUUUGGCUGCUCUGUGGGGAAUGAGGAGAAUCAAAAACUGAUGUAGGAGAGAAGAAAGAGGCCACUGUAGUCCAGGAGUAUGUUGACAGUGGACUGGCCCAGGAUGGUGGCAUUGGAGAUGAUGGGAUGAGGAUGACCUGGGACACGUUAAGAAGCAGAGCUGACAUUACAUGUGCAUCAUUUGGAUGCUGGGGUGAGCCCCAGGGAAUGACUUUUCCCCCUCAGUCCUCAAGAGAGAGCCUUCUGCAUUCAUGGGAAACGUGAGUCAUGGCUUGGCCUUGUGUUCCAUUUUCUUGAGCAGCACCUAGCAAGUGUGUUGAGUGAGCAAGUGAAGCUGAAGGUCCCUUUCUGGGACACAGAAAAGGCAGGAUGAUUCCUUGUCCCCAUGAUGGUAGUAUGGGCAGUUGAAUUUUCCAUGACCUUAUUUCUCUGACCAAGGAGGGGCCCUGGCCCUGCCCAGAUUAGAUGACUUUAGGCAGGAGGGUGUGUAGAGCAGUGAUGAGACUUGAAUCACUUCAGGCACUAUUCUCAACUGUGCUACUUACUGGUGGCCAUUACUCAGGGCAACUCAGGGACCUUUUGGGUUCUUGGUUUCCUCCCCUGUAUACUGGGAGAUCGAAUAACCAUUUGAACUCUCAUUUUCAUUAUUUACGAAACAAGUGUGUUGGCCAUCCCACUUUACCAGGUUGUGCAGGUUAAAGGAUAGUGUUGUAAAGUGCCUGUCACAGUGUUGGGUAUGUGUAUAUGCUUAAACGUCAGCUAUUGUAACUCAUAUGUUACUCCUUUGGGUUAUCCUAUUCCUUCCUCACCAGAAGAUGUGCUGAUGGGAUUUCUAGUACAAAUAUACUGCAGUUCCUGAUGGCAUCUCAGCAGAUUUUAGUUCUUAAGAAGCUUGAUAAUGGGCUCUAGUGACAUUCUGCAUAAGGUCUUGGUUCCCCGUCAGGCAAAGCCAAGAGUUUUCCCUGCCCCUCGUUUUUUUUUCACGGGUGGAGAUGGUGUGGCUGAGGAUGCCAUGGAAUAUUAGUUGUGCUUUGAAUGGACAUUUAAACCUCCCCUUGAAAAUCCCUUGUGAAGGGAAUUUUGAGCCAUCAAAAAGUACUUACUGCUAAUUUAAUUUAUUCCAUAUUUAUUUAAUGUAAUAGUUGAUAUACGUAAUUUGGGUUUAAAUAUGUCCUCUUAUUUUUCGGAUUUCUUUGUGUCACUUGUUCUUUCUGUGCCUACCCCCCUCCACACCAAAAAAAAACUUUCUAUUACUUACAGAUUUUCUUUAUUCUAGUUUGGAAAGCAUAUACUCUAAUUCUGUUUGUUAUUGUCUAAGCUGAGAUUUACAAGCACUUAUUUAAAGAGUACAGAGUUAUACAUACUUUUUCCUCUUCCCAGGCUAUAUAAGGGACUUGGAACAUUAACCAAUACGUCCUGUCUCAGUAUAUGUGUUGAGACUUUGUGUUAAUUCCAUUAUUGUAACUCCAAAAGGAAGUGUUAUUACUGUUUAAUACAAAUCCUGAGCAGUUGUAUCCAUCCACAUAUGCAUUCCCCUCUUGGAUCCUCUAUUGCAGAUCUUUCAUCUGGGAUCAGUUUCCAAAUUCUUAAAUAUAAACUUUAGGAUUUCAUUUUAUGAUUGCUAAUCUUCCAUUAAAUUUCCCAUUUGGGGCUCAAAAUAGUCAUACUCUUUCUUGAAAGACAGCUUUGCUGUGUAUGGAAAUCUAGAUUGGCAGGUUUUUUUCUUCAUCAGGUCCUCGAAUAGUUACUUCCACUGUAUUCCAGAACCAUAAUUAUAUUGGGAGUGAGUGGCAACUUACUUUGUUUAUAGCCUUCUGGUCUUAGUUUAGAUUAUUAACAGAAAUACUAACAUUAACAUGGAGGAAUGGGGUUUGGGGUUAUCACCCCCAAAGUAAUAAAUAGUGCUGAAUGUGUAAGAAUAAUAAUAAAAUGGAUUAUCUGGUGACUAAAUUGAUGGAUUGUGUUAGAAACUGGGUAGAUGCUCUCCUAUCGAAUUUUCUCUUUAUGGACGCCCUGCUUCCCUUGUAUGGGCCAUGUAAAUGAGCUUGGGGCAAUGGAAUAUGGGCAGAAGUGAUCAUGAAAUUAUGUCUUCUAAUUUUUGCUCCUCCAGUGGGAUAUCCCCUUGGGUAUUAGUGGUUUCAGUUCUCACACUUGCUCAGGAUUUAGUGCCCUCUUGGGAACUGCAGUUUCAGGCUACCUAUGGACUGAUGGUGGGGUGGGACCCUUGUACUGGCAAUAUUAGCAAAUUCCCUGAUGAUACUGAUGCUACUGCUGGUUUGGGAACAACUGAAUUAGAGCGGGCUCUAGAGCGCAGGCUCAGUAGUUGUGGUGCACCUGGUUAGUUGCUCCGAGGCAUGUGGGAUCUUCCCAGACCAGGGAUUGAAUCCCUAUCCCCUGCAGGUGGAUUCUUAGCCACUGUGCCACCAGGGAAGUCCCUCGUUUUGUUUUUUAAUUAUAUAUUUUUCCUGAGGUUCUGACAGGUUGAGGUUUGCCUAAGGCUGCACAGGCAGAGGUCUCCAGUAAGAUACCUUUCAGGAUGGGGCUUCGCCCAACGUGGCCACAAAACCCUGGCAUGGUCCCUGUCUUUGGAACCGCAGAGCAUUAUUUCUCAGGGUCCCUCGCAGGGCUGUUUGGCCUUUGCCAUGGAGAAUGGGAAGGGCCUAUCCUUACCUGGCGGGAGGUAGGACAGAAACUACAUUACCCGGAAGGCUGUGCUUGUGCGUGCACGAAGGGCGCUCAUCCAAUGACUACCCAGGAAAGAAGCAUUGCCUCCUGGGGAGGUGGAGGCGGGACUUCCGAUGAUGUCACAGAGGCUCUUGUGGGGUCAGCGUGCCUCGUCGGUGGAGACCCUAUCCUGCUUCCCAGGCGGCUCUUAGGGAUCAAGUAAGGAAGGAGGGGAGAAGAGACUAGGACCUACCUCUGCGCCUUUGUACGAGCCGUGACCCCCGCCUGGCGGCGUGCUUUUCCGGCUCUGCACCAAUCCGCUUUCCUCCAGGUCCCUGGAGUCGGUGUCCUUGGCCUUGUGUGCCUUUUACACAUGGGAAACUGAGGAUUGGAGUGCGGGGUCAGCCAAGGUCACUCCCCGACCAGGGCCGGACGACUGGGGAGUCCACUAAGCUUGAAGGACCCGCCUGGGUCCCUGCCCAGUUCACAGGGUGGACUGGCGACAGGUAGCCGGGUCGGACACAGCUUGUGGGAUCUUAGUUCCCUGACCAGAGACUGAACCUGGGCCACAGCAGUGAGAGCACUGAGUCCUCACCAUUGGAUCACCAGGAAAUUCCCUUCAAGUACUUUACUUUCUAAUGCAAGAAUAUUUCCUAUGCUCGUGUUAUACUUUUCCAGCUCCAACCUGGAAAUAGCCUCUUAUCUAAGGAGUUCUGAUUCUUUUUAUUGAAAUAUCGUAUUCAUAAGCCAAUAACUGGACAAUAAAUAUGCUCACAGCUGCUGGAAUGCCACUUCUUUCUAGGCUGUCUCAGAAGAGAUAGGGAAUGUGUUCAUAUGUAAACAUUUCUACAUACAUUGAGUUUUUUAUGUGUAUUUAAUUUUACAGAGAUUUCACAAGAUUGGAUAUUUAUUUAUUUUUAAAAUUUAUUUAUUUUUGGCUGCGUUGGGUCUUUGUUGCUGUGCAUGGGCUUUCUCUAGUUGUGGCGAGCAGGGGCUACUCUUCAUUGUGUAUUGCGGUGGCUUCUCUUGUUGUGGAGCAUGGGCUCUAGGCAUGCAGGCUUCAGUAAUUGUGGCUUGCGGGCUCUAGAGCAUGGGCUCUAGAUCGCAGGCUCAAUAGUUGUGGCGCACGGGCUUAGUUGCUCCGUGGCAUGUGGGAUCUGCCCGGACCAGGGCUCAAAUCUGUGUCCCCUGCAUCAGCGGGUGGAUUCUUAACCACUGUGCUGCCAGGAAAGUCCCAAGACUGGAUAUUUAAAAGGGUCUUAAGACUCCAAUAGUAUACUCAGAUAAGGCUCUUUUUACAGGCAAAGAUAAGAGAAAGAGUACAAUACCAAAAGUACAAUCAAUAAAAAACAAAUGGGUAAAUUGGAUUUCAUGAAAAUUAAGAAAUUCUACUCUAGGAAAGAUAACGUUAAGAAAUGAAAGCCAAAGCCACAGACUGUGAGGAAAUAUUGGUAAAGCAUAUAUCAAAUGAGUAACUUGCACCCAGAAUAUAUUAAGAAAUUGCAAGACAAUUCCUUAAUAGCAGGCAAAAAACUUUGAACAGAUAAUUCACUAAAGAUAUAUGGAUGGCAAAUACACAGGGAGUCAUUAGGGAAAUGCAAAUUAAAACCACAGUGAAAUACUACUACAUACCUACUAGAAUGGCUAAAAUGAAUGGCCAGUGUCUUACAUACAAAGGUCAGGAAGGAUGUGAAGAAACUGGAAAACGAAUACACUCCAGGAAAUGUGAGAUGGCAUAACCAUUCAGAACACAAGGUGGCAAGUUCUUAAAAAGUUAAAUAUUUGGAUCAACUUCCAGCAUGACAGUGUGAGGAGCUCUGCAAGCCCUGCUUCCCAAUGAAACUGGUGAAAAAUUAUAAAAACACCAUCUAAAGCCUCUAGAAAUGAUCCUAAGGCUACACAGCAAAUGAAGAAACAUUUAAGGAAAUCUAAUACUCAGGAUGAACAGCAAGAGCCAGUCACAUCUGAACCAAGGCCACACCCUCUCUCCCUGCUUCGAACUCAGAGAUGAAAACUCCAGACUGAGGCAGCCAAGAACACAGGGCUCCCUCUCACUAGAGCUGCCAGGCAGAGGACUAGCCUCUCAAGAGGGGCAGGAUGUCAGCAAUUCUCAUCCUGCUCCAGUGUGCAUGUUUGGAUGAAUGAUAUUCAAUUGUUGGCUCACUCAAAGGCUGCUCUCAGAGCUUCUAUGUUUAAGUUAGGUUGACCAGGAGACAGCACAUGCCCUGCACUCUUAAGGCCUUUCUCCGAUCUGAACUUUCUCGUGCCAAACAGGGUUAAGACUUUGUCUGCAACCUUUCUUCAUGUCCCCGUAUUCAUAAGGCCUGUUUGAGCUGUGAAGUUUCUGUUGCUGAAUCAGAGUAGACCUUUGGUUAAAGACUUUUCCACAUUAGCUGCAUUCAAGACUUUUCUCCACUGUGAACUUUAUGGUGUUGAAUGAGGUUGAAACGCUGGCUAAACGAUUUCCCACAACUGCUGCAUUCAUAGGGCAUUUCUCCAGUGUGAAUCCUCCGAUGCUUAACAAGGCUGGAGCUGUGGCGGAACAAUUUCCCACAUUCCCUGCACUCAUAAGGCCUUGCUCCAGUGUGAACCCUCUGGUGUUUAACGAGGCUAGAAUUCUCACUAAAGAAUCUUCCACAUUCAUUGCACUUAAAAGGCUUUUCUCCAGUGUGAACUUUUCGGUGUUGCAUGAGGCUAGAGCUUUGGCUAAAGAAUUUCCCACAUUCACUGCACUCGUAAGGCCUUUCUCCAGUGUGAACUCGCCAGUGAUUAAUAAGGCUUGACUUGUGGCUAUAGAAUUUCCCACACUCACUGCACUUAUAAGGCCUUUCUCCAGUGUGAACUCUCUGAUGUUUCAUGAGGCUUGAGUUAAAGCUAAAGAAUUUCCCACAUUCACUGCACUCAUAAGGCCUCACUCCAGUGUGGAUUCUGUGAUGCUGAACAAGUGUGGAAUUAUGCCUGAAGGCUUUUCCACAUUCACUGCAUUUAAAAGGCUUUUCUCCAGUGUGAACUCUCCGGUGUUGAAUGAGGUCAGCAUUGCGACUAAAAGAUUUUCCACAUUCACUACACCCGUAAGGCCUUUCACCAGUAUGAACUAUUUGGUGUAUAAAAAGGUUGGAUUUAUGGCUAAAUAAUUUGCCACAUUCGCUGCAUUCAUAAGGCUUUUCUCCAGUGUGUAGUCUCUGGUGCUGAACGAGUAAGUAUUUCUGACCAAAGGCUUUCCCACACUCGCUGCAUCUGUAAUGCCUUUUUCCAGGGUGAAAGCCCUCCCCACUUUCGGUGCUCCUAUGUGGCUCCCCUCUGCUGUGAGCCACCUGAUGCUUGGGAAGACCAGAGCUAGCUGGGGAGACCUUCCCACCCUCCUCACCCUCUUCUCUUCUUGAGGGUUUCUCUCCGGAGCUCAGCUUCUGGUGUUGGUGAAGGUUUGCUCUGAGCACUCCCUCUACAUAAACACCCGGCUCAGGUGCCACGUCCUCAGCCUCCGCUCCACACCAACAACCUGAAAGCAGAGAAAUGCUGAUGAAGAGUAUGUAGACUUUGGCGGGAUGGGGCAGCACCCUCACAAACGUGUCUGACAGCCAGUAUGGAGUCCCUGGGAUUACUGGCAGGGUGAGGGAGAGCUCGCUGUGCAGUGCAGGACCUGACAACCUCACAAAUCAGGGGGACUCAUGAGUAGCAAGGAUACAGGAUGGGGUGCAGCCCAGGGAGGAAAGGCAGGGUCUCCAACACACUCCUCUGCAAAUGGCUUUCAGCAGGGCUUCAGCUGCUGGUGACACAGGAACACAGUGCAGAAGGGUGUGUCCAGGCCCAGAAAAGUUGAAGGCAACUGAGUAGCUGGUGUUCAAGGACUAUUAAGGAUAUGUGUACACCUCAUGACACAUGGAGUGAGAGCUUGUAUUGUGACCUGGAAAACUUCCCAUUCUGUUGCCUCAACAGCCCCACAAACAAGCUGUAAACUAUGCCACCAUGUGCACCAGUGUGAGAAGGUGGGCCCCUGCCACAAGUUCUCUUACCUACCCUCCUGACUGAGACCCAGGGCCAUUUAAACUCACCAGUGAAAUCCCCUCGCACCUCCCUCAUGUUCCUCUCCUCAGUCCUAACCAGUGAUGCUGCAUCCCCUUCAGAGAAGUCCACCAUGGCACUCUGUGAAGGUCGAUGGUGCUGGCAACCACUUCUUCACUGCUGUCACUCUUUGUCUCCUGAUCCCAUGGGUAUUAGGGGCCCCAUUCCUGGAGAUCAGUGGCUCAAGAUCUUACGGGCCAGGAUCUUAGCAGGAACAUUUAAUUCCAGCAACUCCCAAUAACCAGAGAAGGUGAGCCAAUUAUUCAAGAAAAGUAAAACAUCUUUGCAACAUUGCUGGGCUCUACUUAGUGCCACUGCCUAUCAACAUGCCAACUACUGCUCAGCUCCCAAGGUCUAGGAACGAUCGGAAAAGGAGAUCUGGCCACCAGAGCUGUCCUGAAUGGAUCCCGACCCAGCUGAAGUCACCUUAGAAAGGGAAGCUGCUGCCUAUGAGAGGGGCCACAGAAAGGAAGCAUCCAAGGUCUUCUCAGACCCAGCGGCUCAAGAACACAGGAGAUCACAAGGAAUUAUAAGGUGAAACUUGCAAUUUCACAAGACUAGAAAUACCAAUGAUUCUUAAAGAUUUCAUUCAAAGAGGUGGGGAAAGGGAGCUGAUUGGUUACUGAGAGCAUUUAACAUGGGUGCACAUUCAGCCCCAGAAAUGAGGCAGCUGCCAGCAUUUGGAAAGAGGCUAAGAUGCAUAACUAAAGAUUCUUUGGCCCUCCAAGUUCAAUUCUCACCUGAUAUUUUGGGGCUGAAGGACCUCAGGAAGGACAGAGGGUAUCCCAAACGUCAGGGUAGGUGUGACAGAGACCAAAACUUUUGAUGGGAUUAUAAAGGCCUCAGAUGAGGAAUCUGAAGCCUCUACCACCACUUGGGACUCAGAAACCCUGCCGUUAACUGAAUUGGAUUUUCAUGGCCUGGAGAUGCCCAAUGGGAAACGGUCAAGGAAGCCCAUGUGCUCCUCUGCAAAAACUGGAAUGGUUCAAUGGAUCUAUCAUUUUGGGCAUUCAGACAAGGAGAACCCUGAGCAUGUUUCUAAAUCAGGAGGCCCUCUUUGUCACAGAGUCCAGGAGUUGUUCUUGCAGGCUCGCAUCCCGAUACAGAGCUUUGUUGCUUAACCUUAUUGGUAUAUCUCACACCAAAUGGGAGGCCACGGAUGGAACUAUCUCCAGAUGUGCCAUGAGAGCUCCGCGCACCCUGACUCACAAAUUCUGACGUAUCACAUCCGCCGCCUGGUGUGCGGUAGGUGUGUGGGUAACCACCCCCACACCUAGCAUUCUUUCCCGACUUGCUGACGCCCCCUACUGCCUCCAGGGUGAUACUGGUAGAACUAGUCAUGGCAAACAAACUGCACCAGGUGUCAACAAUCUUUAUCAAACAGCUGCCCAUGAUGGUGACCCCUGAUGCUUUUGAGUUUUCCUAUGAGAGACAGAUGUGUGUGGCAUCUGAACAAGCUCAAGUCCCUCUCACAAAGUGAGAACCUGUGGAGUUGCCCCUGCUGGUGAAGGUAGUAAACAUGCCAUAGUAUCACCUGAAACAAGGUACUGGCCUUUGGCUGGUUGUUCAAGAUCUACUAAAAGAAGGGGAGAUUAUUCCUGCUAUUUCUCCUUAACAGGAGCGGCACUUAACUGUUGAUUAUCGAAACCUUAAAGCUCAAGUUCCCCCCAUCAGGGGUCCAACACCUAACAAUCCAGUUAACUGAAGACAUCAAGAGGGCACCAGUGACUACUUGGCCAUGGUGGAUCUGGCCCAGUACAUUUUAUUCUGGGCCUAUGACCCCUUAGUCACAGCCCCAGUUCACCUUUACCUUUAAAGGAACCCAACAUACAUUUACCAAGUUGUCCGUGAGUUAUUUAAACAGCCCAGCCCACAAUUACUGCCAGGACCCGGACCGGGUCCCCUCCCCACUCCAGUUCUUUAUCCACCAGGUACCUCCCUUUUUCCAUCAACCCAAGGACGCUGGGCAGAACAGGCAAUUAUGUAUUCCCAUCUUAUUUUUUUAUUUUUAUUUUUUUGGCUAUGUCGUGUGGCAUGCGGGAUCUUAAUUCCCCACCCAGGGAUCGGGCCCGUACCCCCAGCAGCAGAAGCGUGGAGUCUUAACCACUGGACCACCAGGGAAGUCCCUAUUUAUUCCCAUCUUAAUCAGACUUGUGAUAGCCGCAGGAGACACCAGCUUUGGCACCAGUACAGCAGCCUUUGUCAAACAAGAUCAGAUCAUGUCUGCCAACCAGCGCCUUUCAGUGGCCCUUUCAGAUCACGUACAAAGGCUGCAGGAAACCUUGGCCCUUAUUCAACAAACCUACAAGUCUCUGAGCCCAAAUGGUCAUGGAUAACAGACUGGCUCGUGAUUGUUUACUAGCCAGGAAAGGUGGCUCAGGACAGCUACAGGCCAAGCUACGAGGAUUAGUACAAGUGGUAAAAAUCUUUCGUAACAUAACCAAAAGCUUCCAAAAGACUCCCUUAAACCCAGAGGUGCCUGAUCUGUUCUCUUGCCUUUCCCCUACUACCUGCCGUGCUAGCUGCGGCCUGGGUUUCAAACCCUCAUUAUAUACCUGGUAGGACCUUUCUUAGUUGUCACCUUUGUCAAAGGUUGCCUUUGGUGGCAAGAACAAACUAUUCCUGUCACCUCUAACAUCGCCACAACCCAGGUGGCAAGCGUCACCCAUCCCAAUGAGAGUUGAUAAUGAUGAUGAGACACCACAGGGUCAACUGUAUUGCAACCUUUGAAGCUCCCUGUUUUCCUGCUCCCUCGGCAUCCCCACAAAGAGGUUGUGAGCACCCCGCCAGUGGCACCAGUGUGAGGAGGCUGGUCCCUGCCACAAGUUGCCCUUCUGGUCCUCCCCUGAAUGUGACCUAGUACGUUUAAAUGCACCAAUAAAAUCCCCUUGUGUUGGGACUUCCCUGGUGGUGUAGUGGUUAAGAAUCCCCCUGCCAAUGCAGGGGACACAGGUUCGAGCCCUGGUCUGGGAAGAUCCCACAUGCCACGGAGCAGCUAAGCCCGUGCACCACAGCUACUGGGCCUGCGCUCUAGAGCCUGCGAGCCACAACUACCGAGCCCAUAUGCCACAACUACUGAAGCCCGUGUGCCUAGAGCCCGCACUCUGCAACGAGAAGUCACCGCAAUGAGAAACCCACGCACCGCAACAAAGAGCAGCCCCCACUCGCCGCAACUAGAGAAAGCCCGUGCGCAGCAAUGAAGACCCAACGCAGCAAUCAAUCAAUCAAUCAAUCCCCUCGUGCCUUUUCUUGCAUUCUCCCCCCAACCACCAACAGAGACACUUGCCAACAGGUCCUCACCCUCUGCUUCCCCCCUGCUCCAUUGAGCCUGCUCCCUCGCGCUCCUCCCACGUGACCCCCCUCUCGGCGUGCAGUGACUGUCUCUCUGGACCUGUGAGCAUAAUAAACUUUGGUUUUUUCCUUAGGCUGUCCUGUGUUUCCUCUUGUGGCUGCACCUGCCUGGCCAUGUCAUAAAAGAGCACAAAACGGGUCUACUGUUGGCGAGCACUGCAGAGGGAGCAGUGGAGGACAGGUGGGGGACAGCCCUGGGUCAGAAACCAGAGCAGCCCUGAGAAGCGGGCAGAGCUGAGGAAGAAAAGAAGAAAAUCAGCCUUGGCCCCUUGUUUGACACCAAAACAUCAGGGCACCAUGGAGAGACUCCUGGUAUGAUUUGAACCCAUCCCUGAGUUCCCUCUUCCCCACUUCCUCCCUCCAAGCACCUCUUGGCGUGGCUGUGAUCACGACUCCACAGGCAGGCACAAAGGGCUCUCCCCACUGCUCCAACUGAGUAACUUCAUGGGUCCUGGAACAUGUAAGUCCUAAGGGAGGGACAAGGCAGGCAGGUCAAAGCAACCCGCUCCACGGCAGCCCACAGGGACGAAGACUGUAUAUUACAAACAGGAAGCUUGGAGAAGGAUCUUGCAGGAACAACCCAGUCAAGCAGUGGCCGUGUUGGUACCUGGCACAGGCAGAUCCCAUGUCAGCCAAAGGAAGAGGGCAGAACUGGGGGCACAGGACUGCCAUGGAUCUCCACAGCAUCACCAGGCCAGGGAGAGGCCAGUAGCAUGUGAUCCAUCAGUCGGACUACAACACUCCCGAUCCCCAAACCCUUUCCUGCACAACUUUGGGGCAGCAGCAGCUUGGGGACAGAAGGGGUAGUGUACCCAGCCCAGGCUUUCACUCACAACACCUACUACAGGACACAGGGAAGGACGCAGUACCCAUGGACCAGCUUUGGGAAGGACAGACCUGCCCUUGGAGAAGGGGAAGAGCAGAGCUCCGCCUAAGCUGUGGGGUGCAAGGAACUUACCCAGAGAGGCCAUCAGUGAGAAGUUCUCCAGCAUCACACUGCGGUACAGGAGUCUCUGGGCUUCAUCAAGGAGCCCCCACUCCUCCUGUGAGAAGUAGACAGCCACAUCCUCAAAUGUCACUUGGCCCUGCCAAGAUGGGGAUGGUUCAGUUUAUGUGCAGCCUCCUUUCCCAGGACUCUAAGCAUCUCCCCAAAUAUCCACCCUCCUCACAAGCUCCCCACCUCAGAGGAGAUCCCAGGCCCUGGUGCCAUUGAUGCCCACCCUCUGCUGGCCGUCCCAUCGAUCACUGUGUUCAGCCCUCAUCAACAACAGGCAGGGGGGCACGUGUCAUCUGAGCCCUGGUGCUGGCCUGCAGAGCCUCACCCUUCUGCCAGACAGCUUACCUGGGAUCCUCUAGAUUGUGCUUCCCAAACACAACCAAAACUGAGUCACCGUUCUCCCCUCAGGCCCCAGUCCAAGGGCCUGGGGCCAUCAGUUGACACUCCCUCCCAACAUGUACA